GUUCUUAGCAAGUUUAAAUAUUUAAUUGAAUAAAAAAUAAUUAAACAGUAAAAUAGAAAAAAUUAAAAAAUUAAAAGAACCAAAUUUAUAAUUUUUCCGGAAACAAAAAAAACUUUAUGCUGGAUGAACAAAAGUGGGUCUGACGAAAUCCGGCCCGAUUCCAUCCAAGUUAUUAUAGUUGUUACCAAACAGCACCCGUGCGGUCCCACAAACAAAAAAGGCCAAAGAAUUUUCCAAAAAUAAAAAAGGAAAAGGCAACGAACGACCAAAAGCAUGUUAGCUGGCAAUUGCGGCUUUUAUUUGUAACGGCUAUGAAUCCCAUGAAUUCUGUAAUUCACAGGCUGGUAGGUUGUUCGGUCAGUUUUUACACAAACAACGUCGUCGUAUUGGAGGUUGUGAAAGGAACUUGCAAGGCGCUGUCUAUAAAUAGCAGACGAAGAAACCCUAAAAGCAACUCGAGCGUUGCUCUGACCACGUUGUUCAUUCCUCUUCCUAAAAUGGUUUCUCUUUUUUUUUGUCGCUCUUUCAAUUACCGAAAAGGCGAAUCCAUUUUAGGAAGGGAAUGAACACUGUCUUCAGAGUGAAAUACUAUCACCCAAAGACACAAGAUUGAUAAUUCUUUCUCCAGAUCACAUUUAUGUUUUUGGUGAUGAAAUGGAGUCUGGAGUUGCUUGUAUGUACGGAAGACGUGGCUGUUCCUGUUCCUUGAUAAACAAAUUGAUUGUUCACUUUGCAGUCCUAAAGCGUGUUGAAAGCUCUUCAAAUUGACUUUACUACCAUAUUCCAGGGCUUUUAAGAUCUUUUUCAUUUUAGUUUCUCAUAACCCUCUUUUGUACUUCUCGCUCUGCCCAUAUGAAAUGUUGUUAACAGGGCGAAUAAGUUUGUCCCGCCGUAGGAUGAAUACACACACCUGUGGAAAUAUAUUGUAGAUAUGGCUGGUUCAUGUAAUUUCUGGAAACUAUCAAACUAAAGCUUCAACCAUAGUGAUAGGCGAUAGCACCAGCAGUGAGAUGAGGAAAAUGCUGAGAACUUCGAGUAACGCGACGCAAGGAGAACAUGGGGCUGGGGACAUAAGUUGGUUAAUCGUGGGGGGUAAGGCAUGGCAUCAUAUCUUCUCUGUGACUACGAGUUAGAACCUAAGUGAUUACUUUAAUGGUAGUCUUUACAUUUUCCCUUCCGCUCGUAGUAUGGGGAAGAAUUGGACUUUAGGGGUAUUACUAAUUGAAUUGAGAAAUCAAACUCUAUCGCUUGUUUUUAGGUCGUUAUGCAAAGAUUAAAGAUUUUUAAAUUUAAAGAUGAAA
Long non-coding RNA from Ricinus communis (castor bean), 1301 nucleotides. RefSeq lists it as uncharacterized. The record is from RefSeq and is a predicted model, not a curated record. NCBI's taxonomy places the organism in Eukaryota, Viridiplantae, Streptophyta, Magnoliopsida, Malpighiales, Euphorbiaceae. The transcript has 2 exons.